This 182-nucleotide ribosomal RNA is filed under the name Helicobacter pylori. RNAcentral describes it as "partial 23S ribosomal RNA". It matches the Rfam family "Bacterial large subunit ribosomal RNA", at positions 1912 to 2093 of the family's 2925-position model. The record is from RNAcentral. Lineage: Bacteria; Pseudomonadati; Campylobacterota; Epsilonproteobacteria; Campylobacterales; Helicobacteraceae.
UUGAAGCCCGAGUAAACGGCGGCCGUAACUAUAACGGUCCUAAGGUAGCGAAAUUCCUUGUCGGUUAAAUACCGACCUGCAUGAAUGGCGUAACGAGAUGGGAGCUGUCUCAACCAGAGAUUCAGUGAAAUUGUAGUGGAGGUGAAAAUUCCUCCUACCCGCGGCAAGACGGAAAGACCCCG